This 253-nucleotide ribosomal RNA is filed under the name uncultured bacterium. RNAcentral describes it as "partial 16S ribosomal RNA". It matches the Rfam family "Bacterial small subunit ribosomal RNA", at positions 524 to 776 of the family's 1533-position model. The record is from RNAcentral.
UACGGGGGGGGCAAGCGUUGUUCGGAAUUACUGGGCGUAAAGGGUUUGUAGGUGGCCAACUAAGUCACACGUGAAAUCCCCAGGCUUAACCUGGGAACUGCGUGUGAUACUGGAUGGCUUGAAUCCGGGAGAGGGAUGCAGAAUUCCAGGUGUAGCGGUGAAAUGCGUAGAUAUCUGGAGGAAUACCGGUGGCGAAGGCGGCAUCCUGGACCGGCAUUGACGCUGAUGAGCGAAAGCUAGGGGAGCAAACAGG